This is a long non-coding RNA of Columba livia (rock pigeon), 3850 nucleotides long. RefSeq lists it as uncharacterized. The record is from RefSeq and is a predicted model, not a curated record. NCBI's taxonomy places the organism in Eukaryota, Metazoa, Chordata, Aves, Columbiformes, Columbidae. The transcript is spliced from 12 exons.
GGACGCCCCGGGGGGUCCCCCCGCGAGGGACAAGGGGACAAGGGUGCCUUUGUUUCGGGGAGAGGGGGAAGGGGUGGGCUCCAGCCUGUCCCCCCCUUACACCACCCCCGUGCGGUGACAGGAGGAGUUGCUAAUGAGGCUGAAGAUUUCAGAGAAGAGGGGAUGGUUUGGAGCAGAGGAGCGCUGGGGAUACCCAAGUGUGGACUGGGUUAUCUCUGCAUCCCUCUCCAUUGCAAUGUCAGCAAGAAAAGCCAGGAUGGCAUGCAGAUUGUUUUCAUUUGCAUCAGGGCCUGUCUUUGGCUCUAUGAAUAAAAAAGGAUCUUUGAAUACUGCCUGCCUCUACCAAGCUGAGUGCUCCUAAUUUCCAGCUCUGCAGUGCGUGUACGUGCUUGGCCAGCAGAAUCAGACCUGGACCUACAAGCGGCAAUCUUCCCUGACUGCGCCAUUAACGUGUUGUGAGACACGGAGCUGUUGGUGCCUGAAAGCCCGAGCAGACCCAAAUGAGCAUGCCAAAGGCAACACAAAACCCCAAGACAUUGUUUUCCAGUACAUGAGCAGAAGCUUUUGGCCGCUGCAGGAGAGUUCCCCUCUGUCUCAUAUGAAGCUGCUGUAAAGUAUUUGCCACUGCCUUGAUGUUCUCCCACCCAAUGGAAUUUAAUCACUGAGAUGGAAUGAAGAGCACAGCACAGAGAGCAGGCAUGGUCCAGACCUCAUAGGUCUAAUUAUGCUCUUAAAGGGUCGCACCCACUGCGCUGGCUGUGGACGCGAGAAGAAAUGUGCCGGAGCAGAGCAGAGCAGAGCAGGUCCCUGCCAAGAGGCUGGACAGGGAGGACGGCAGGUCUGCAUGAGAGGAUGUCCCCUGCCGUGGGCAGCACUGGGGGACACGCUGGCCUUUGGGGGAGCUGCCCAGAGAGCAUCUGUCUGCACCUCCUCAUCCUGCAUCCCGCACUUUGAUGGAGCAGUGGUCACCGGUGAUGAUAACAAGAUGUCCACAUCCUUAGCUGACCUUGGGAAAGAGCUCCACGCUGAAGGCUGUACAUCCUGCUUCCCGGUGAGACCCAAGCUGUACGCGCGCCAGGGAGGCAGCUGUGAACUGUGAAAAGUAUUUGCAGAAAAGCUUAUUUUCGAAGAGGGACUGAAUUGUUGAGCUUGGUCACAGAAGCUGCUCUGGAAGAGCCUGCAAGAGCAAAUGCAAAUGUAUCAUCACAACACUGAAUUUAUAGUCAAAGAUAAUAUUGUUGGUACGAAGCUGGAUACACUGAAGAUAUUCAAGACCGAGGGACCAGAACCUCUUGCAUCCAUACCUGUGACAAAUCAAGAAGGUCAACUGCUUAUGCCGAUACGUAGUUUGGGAAGGACAAAACUAAUCAACGUUACAGACCGUGUUGGAAGAUGUUCUGCAAGUGCCAAGUGAUUAUUCUAUCAUGAAACUUGAACUGCAUUUGGUGUCCUACAUUUUAAAGAAUGGGAGCUGCACCUGAACGUCACAGCUUGCUGCACAAUGUGAUCAGGCGUGAUUUCAAAAUGCAGUCGGUGCCAUUUCAGUAUCUGCAUGUGGAACAAUAGUGGGAUUCAGCCAAGGAAAUCUACUGGGGAUUUUUGUUCAUUAACAAUUUGAGACUCUUAUUUUCAAACGAAGCAGUGUGCUUUGGGCUGUACACUUCAAUAUAUCUUGAAACUGCCAAGCUUUUAGGGAAGGUGAAGGUAAGUACAAGCCUCUUAAGAUGCCUCAAGUUGGGUUCCCCAAAAACGGGUCAUGCAGUGACACAACCAAUGAUUAAAAUCUUUUCUAAAUAUGUUAAGGAAAACAAUUUACUGCUGCUGUCACCUAGUGGAGGCAACCGCUGCUUAGGUGGACUGCACUGUGCUUUGAUGCUGAAGGUUCCAGUGUCAAACACCGACAGUGGUUUUAAACACCUAUGCACAUGCAUAUGGGUUGGGUUUUGUUUUGUUUUUCCUGUUAAACUCUUUCACACAGGUGGCUCCCUACCUUCCUUGCGUGAGCAGUCAGAUCAAGGCCCAGCUCAACAGAGACAAAAAUGUAAGGACAAGACUUAAAAGAAUUAUUCUAAAGUCAAAUAAGCACACACAGGUCUUGUUGGGGUUUUUUUCAGUAUGUGCUUUGUUCUAUGUGCUAAGUAGGAUUUAGAAUGAUGCACUAAUGGCCACUUCUUGUAAAUGUAAGAGGAGAUUGUUUUACUCCUGAGAAUUAAGUAUCACAGCAUUUAUUAAUAGUUUCCACACUGACAUAUUAAAAACUGAAUUUCAAAAGAAAUGAGUCAUUCUUUUAAAUCCACAACAAAAUAUUAAUGCAACAUCUGUAAAAAUGAAGAGUAAUUAUAUAUAAAAAACUGUAAGCCUCUAUCUACCACUUGACUUAUGGAAAUGAUUCAGAAGGCUCCAGUUCACUUUAGAUACCAAAAUCUCCAGUGUUCAGAACUUCAUUUCUAAUAGAUCCUGAACCACCACAUCACGUUAAGUCCAUGUCCAGUGCUAUGUGUGCAAACAGCUACAUGGGUUUCUCUCCAGGAUGCUUUAAGUUGGCCAUAUACAGCAGUAUUUCUGUGAAUUGCAGCCAACAGACAGAACAUGUUGCUGUACUUUAAGACUUUCUAAAUAUGAAAUAAUUGUAACAUCUUGCCUUAUAAACUUAGGCAAGUCUUCCCUGGUUAUUUUCCAUUUUAUAUAGCAAUAUUUUAUAAAACAAAACUACACUUCUUAUUUUGGACUAUGAACAUGAAUAUUUAUUUCAACUAUAACAGCAAACAUACUUUAAUGGUCAAAGAUAAACACUGAAUUUUCAGUGGUAUCUUGUAGGUCAUGUAGGUAAAUACAGCGUGCACAGAAAUUCUUCAUUGUGAAAAACACAUCAAUUGCAAAAAUUCAAGUUAAAGUAGAAAUUAGGAUUGAUCAAACAUCACACAUUUGAAUGAAAAAAUCAGUUUCUACUUCAGUGGUACAGAGAAUAUUUGUGUCAGUUAACUCAACUAAUAGUUAGCAAAAUCCUUCAGAUUGACAUUAUACUGUACUGCGGUGGUUUUGCUCUCUUUAUUCAGUAGCAAGAUCCAUGGACAUAGGGCAACUGACUUUUCUUUUUAAUUAUUCCAAAUAGCUGGAAUCUUGUCUAAGGGCCUGACCCAGAUCCAUGGGAUCUGUUGCUUGUCCAGUUCUUGUUCACACAUCCCAAAGGCAGGUGGUCACUAAAAAAGGACUGAGAUAUCACUGACCAGGCUGGCGCAACAUCUAGUGGGCAGCCAGUAGCCACAUAUAUAAUUAAUUAGAGAAAACUAUUCAUCACAUAUCAGGUACAGGUUGCAGGCAAUGAAUUACUUCAUAUCAGCCAAUUAAUGGUAGCUGUGCAUAUAAUAUAUUUAAGCUCUAGGAAAUAUGUUAAUCUGAGUUGGUUUAGUCCUCAGUGACAGUGUGACACUCAUUUCUGCGCAUAAUCAUUUCUGAUAAACUAGAUUAUUUCAUAAUAUUCAUGAUGUGACUACUUUUGUAGAAGGAUGUUAAUAACUAUUCCAGGGAAUUUGACCUUUCAGACACAUUUAAUUGUACAUUCUUGUGAGUCUGACAGAAAUACUUCAAGAUUGAUGACCCUGAUUCUACAUUUUAUUACAAUGCAAGAGCAUACUAAAAAUAUUUCCAUUUGUAGAAAAAUUAGUGCAGCCUUUGACAAUCUGUUCUCCAGCUUAAUUUUUCCUUUUAAUAGUAAAGUGGCCUCUUGUGUAAUUUGUUAAGGGGAAACAAUGGACAUGAAGAAUUGUUUUGCAUGAAGUGUAUAAGGAACAUUGCAUUUCAAAAGCCAUGCCCUAGAGAACUUAUAAAUAUGUUAUAAAACCCUGAAAAA